RNAcentral lists this small RNA (83 nucleotides) under bovine gut metagenome. RNAcentral describes it as "GA-cis RNA". It matches the Rfam family "GA-cis RNA". The record is from RNAcentral.
UGAGGAGGAGCCAUCAUGCGAAGCAUGAUCUUUAAAUGGCUCCGACGACAGGCCGCCGAACGAAGUGAGGGGGCGAUACCUAU